AACAAAACGUAGCUUAAUAAAAGCACUUCGCUUACACCGAAGCGACAUCUGUUAAACCCGGAUCGUUUU
RNAcentral lists this transfer RNA (69 nucleotides) under Megophrys intermedia (Annam spadefoot toad). RNAcentral describes it as "Brachytarsophrys intermedia (Annam spadefoot toad) tRNA-Val". It matches the Rfam family "tRNA". Rfam says of the family: Transfer RNA (tRNA) molecules are approximately 80 nucleotides in length. Their secondary structure includes four short double-helical elements and three loops (D, anti-codon, and T loops). Lineage: Eukaryota; Metazoa; Chordata; Amphibia; Anura; Megophryidae. The record is from RNAcentral.